RNAcentral lists this small RNA (96 nucleotides) under Thalassotalea agarivorans. Lineage: Bacteria; Pseudomonadati; Pseudomonadota; Gammaproteobacteria; Alteromonadales; Colwelliaceae. The record is from RNAcentral.
ACUUUCGAGAGAUUUAAUGACAGAAUUAGCGCACGGCUCAACCCCUUUGAGCCUUUUCCCUGAGCCCGGAACUGGAUUUGUUCUGGGCUAUUUUUU